This 468-nucleotide ribosomal RNA is filed under the name Triticum aestivum (bread wheat). RNAcentral's name for it is "partial small subunit ribosomal RNA". Lineage: Eukaryota; Viridiplantae; Streptophyta; Magnoliopsida; Poales; Poaceae. The record is from RNAcentral.
AUGUCGACGGUGAAGGUUGGCAUGUUUGGCGGGUCAAACGGUGAUGUCUGCGACAUCACCGGAUUGUCAAGUUUCCCGCCGUCAAGCCUAAGGAGCAUGGAGAUCUGGAGCACACCGGGUCACGAAGGGGUCAUCAACGCCAUACGCUUCACCUUCGUCGACACCAAAAACAAUGCGAUCCCGGUAGGUCCAUGGGGCACCCCACUCCGUGGUCAGAAAAGCCAGACUAUUCACUUGACGAAUGUGCGUGUCAUCGAGCUCUCCGGCUACACCAAUGGCCGAUACAUCACCUCACUCUCCUUCCGCACCACCGACGCCCCAAGGCAUCAUGGACCAUUCGGAAAAGUGAGGCCAGCAACUGGGUCCGACGCUUAUUUCCGCGUCCCUCUCAUGCACGGCUCCAUCGUGGCCUUCUGCGCCCAAGCCGACGACUACCUCAGCGCCAUUGGUGCCUAUCUCAAGAACUGA